AGAGAGAAAGAAAGGAUGGCGACACCAUGUCAAGAAGAUUCAUAUGUCUGUCAACACCCACCCUAUACCAAGAAGAGUCUGCAGUGACAAGGACCUCAGUCCAGGGGUCUGAUAGCUGUAAUAAUAGCAUUAGCAACAAGGUAUUAACACAAAAGGUGCACCCCAUUACAGGGGUCCAAAACAUGGGGGAAAGGUUAUUGAAUUAGUAAUAAAAGGAGUUGCAUUAAAGGGGAGAGAAGAGAAAAAAAGAGAUAAGAAGAACAGAGAAGAGACCUGACGAGAGAAAAGAAGAGAAGAAAACAGACAAGACAGGAAGAAAUGACCAAAGAGAUACGAUGAAAAGUGGAGAAAAGAGAAGGGAAAAGAAGAGGCGAAACAGGAGAAAUGAGAAAAGAAGAGAGGAAAAGGUGAGAAGAAACUAUUUCAGUAAGGCAGAGAAGAGACACAAAAAAGAGAUGAGAAGAAAUGAAAAAAUAAGAACACGAGGAGAGAUGAGACUAGAAGAAACACAAAGAGAAAAGAAAAGGAUGAGACAAGAUAAAAGUAUUACAGCAAGGCAGAGAAAGGUUGUGAAAAGAAAAGAUGUGAAGAAACAAGAAAAGGAAAGAAGAGGAGACAAUAGGAAGUGCGAACCUUUGUCUUUUAAGGGGGCAGGAGAGGAGGGGACAGGACAGGAGAAGAAAGGAGAGGACAGGAGAGGAUAUCAAGUGUGAACUCACACAAAAACUUUAAUAUCAAUUUAUCUGAAGUCAAUACCAGAUUUCAUUUCAAGUUCAGUUAUCUGUUCAUACGUUAUUUGCAGUUUUUAACUAUUAUUUCCUUUAGUCUGCCAUUGGCUUUUUAAGGAGGAGAGGAGGGAAGAGGGCAAAAUGAAGUUUGAACCCGCUCGUAAAAUUGGUAAAUAAUUUUUUUAAUAUUAUCAUCAGAAUCACCUUUAUUAUUUUAAGAUUGUAACUGUAAUGCCCCCUUGUCUGCACUGGAUUUUUUAGAGAGGAGAAUAAACAAUUAAAGAGAAGAGAUGUGAAUGGUGAGAAAAGACGUUACAAAGAAGAGAGGGGGAAAUGAAACGAGAAGAAACAAAAGAAGAGUACAGAGGAAAGGAGAGGAGGUGGGGGAAUAUUAAGUUUGAACUCAUGUUAAAGAUAAAUAUCAAUUUAUUUAAUGUUUUGAUCAGAAUGAAUGUAUUAAUGAUUAUUAUUAUUAUAUAAGAGAAGAGAAAAUGAAAUGAGAAGAAAUAAUAGAAGAGAAGAGAGGAGGUGGAGGGGGCAAUGUUAAGUGUAAAACAUUGAAUGUAAAAAGCUGACCAACGUGUGGAGAACUGCUGAACCCUGAACUGCAACUUCAAAAGCUCCAAAAGUGAAAGUCAUGUCUUGACAAUGACUUUUGGUUUAAUCAAACAGUGCAACAAAAGUGUUUUAAAUAGAAAGUCAAAACAGGCGGAAAUGUCUCAGUUUGGUUUCUAAGGUUUGUUUAACCCCAUGGUUUACCUUUGCAAAUCAUAUAAUCUGUUGGAAAAUCAAAAAGGCACUGUAUUUUCAAAAUGUCAUACUAUUUAUACAUAGAUAUACAUUUUGUACAGAGCAAAAUUUUAAACCACGCACAAAUGGUGCAAACCAUUUCCUGUGCCAUGCGUUUCCAUAUUUCUGCAUUAGUCAAAUAAUUAUAUGAUCGGGUUAAAUUAUGUAACCCUAAAAAAAAAAAAAAAAACCCUUCAAAACUUGUGUAUACUCAAAAAUAUAUAACAAACCAAAAGCAAAGUUUCUCCCCACAAAGUUAGCAUAUUUUGGAACAAGGGGCAUUAGAUUUUUUUGUAUUUUUUUUCAUAACUAAACUGUUACUGUGGGUCUGGGUCCCAUGAAAGGCCAGGCCCUCAUUCCCCCUGUGUUAAGUUAGAGUGUCCUUUAUGGUAUACUGCACACAAGUCUGUGGGUAUCAGUCAUUUUCCAGUUUUUGUGACUAUUGCACCUUACAAUUCAGGCAAUACGGUCUCAGUUUCUGAUUUUUGUUGUAUAAUGUUACGUUGAAAUCUGAAAUCUUAAUUACAACGUAGUUACCUCUGAGUUGUUUGCAUGGGGUGCUUCAUGAUUCUGUCCUCCCUCGUCUCAAACUAUAGACAUAUACUUGUCUUGCAGGUUGCUCAGUGUAGAUUUCUCCAAACAAUCAGUCAACAUAAUCAGUCAAGUUGAGCUAUAAUAUAAAUACAAAAAAGAGUGCAAUUCAUAUAAUUGCCUUAAAUUUAUUGCCUAUAUAUCUGUAGUAAAGAAUUCACAAUUAUACAGACUCUUUUUUAGGACAUGUAGUUUGCUUUCCCAUCACUUCUUCUGUCCUCAGUUUGUGUUAGACUUGACUGUGUAACUGAUUUAAAUAACUUUAUUGAUCUUAGAAAUAGAUAAAUGUAAAAAAAAAACCAGCAACAGUCUAUCUUCUCAGGUAAGGUCGAGGGUUACAUUA
Long non-coding RNA from Siniperca chuatsi (mandarin fish), 2451 nucleotides. RefSeq lists it as uncharacterized. Lineage: Eukaryota; Metazoa; Chordata; Actinopteri; Centrarchiformes; Sinipercidae. The transcript has 2 exons. The record is from RefSeq and is a predicted model, not a curated record.